UAGAACAAUAAACCAACCAUUACAUUUAGACCUGGGCUUUUGAAAAACUUGCAUUCCAUUUUAACAAUUCGUAUGUAUCUAACAAAUACAUAAAUCCAGAUCACAAAUAAUCUUAAGAGUUAAACAAUUAAGAAACACAAAGAAUACCACAUAGAUCUACCUUUAAAUAUCAGCAUUCAUAUUAUAAGAAAUAAGAAAAUGUUAAAAAAAUAAAAUUAGGUUAAGUCACAACAUAAAAUAGAGAAAUAAGAUAAAUGCUAUUUUAUUAAUAUUCAUACUUAUUUCUAAUUUACCUUCAUAUAGUCUUAACUUUUUCAAAAGGAUCCAAGAUAUGAUCAAAUAAUAUUUUAGUAUCUGAACUUGCCAGCCUUAGCUUAUACCAGAGCUUGUUA
This 392-nucleotide long non-coding RNA is filed under the name Homo sapiens (human). RNAcentral describes it as "non-protein coding lnc-FER-6:1". Lineage: Eukaryota; Metazoa; Chordata; Mammalia; Primates; Hominidae. The record is from RNAcentral.